Molecule: long non-coding RNA, 224 nt
Filed under: Brassica napus (rape)
Lineage: Eukaryota; Viridiplantae; Streptophyta; Magnoliopsida; Brassicales; Brassicaceae
Description: long non-coding RNA (BNAP_LNC008675)
Source: RNAcentral
AACAAAGCCAAUGAAGGACACUGUGGCAUCACGGCAUAGACUAUUGGGGAACCAGUGGGUAAAUGUUUGGAAAAUAUUACGCUCUGGGACAGUUUUCAGUUAUUUAUAACAUUCUAGGGCAGUUUGUUCUACUAGCACACUUUAUCCUAACAACUUCUUCCUUUCCUAAACUAACUCGCUAACAUCUGACUAUCAUAAUUACUAACUAAAUGUAAUUUUAGCUG